GAUGAACGCUGGCGGCGUGCUUAACACAUGCAAGUCGAACGAUGAAGCCCAGCUUGCCGGGUGGAUUAGUGGCGAACGGGUGAGUAACACGUGAGUAACCUGCCCUUAACUCUGGGAUAAGCCUGGGAAACUGGGUCUAAUACCGGAUAGGAGCGUCCACCGCAUGGUGGGUGUUGGAAAGAUUUAUCGGUUUUGGAUGGACUCGCGGCCUAUCAGCUUGUUGGUGAGGUAAUGGCUCACCAAGGCGACGACGGGUAGCCGGCCUGAGAGGGUGACCGGCCACACUGGGACUGAGACACGGCCCAGACUCCUACGGGAGGCAGCAGUGGGGAAUAUUGCACAAUGGGCGCAAGCCUGAUGCAGCGACGCCGCGUGAGGGAUGACGGCCUUCGGGUUGUAAACCUCCUUCAGUAGGGAAGAAGCGAAAGUGACGGUACCUGCAGAAGAAGCACCGGCUAACUACGUG
This 466-nucleotide ribosomal RNA is filed under the name uncultured bacterium. RNAcentral describes it as "partial 16S ribosomal RNA". It matches the Rfam family "Bacterial small subunit ribosomal RNA", at positions 28 to 507 of the family's 1533-position model. The record is from RNAcentral.